GAUGAACGCUAGCGGCAGGCUUAACACAUGCAAGUCGAGGGGCAACACGGGUAGCAAUACCUGGUGGCGACCGGCGCAAGGGUGCGUAACGCGUGAGCAACAUGCCCUAUACAGGGGGAUAAUCCAGGGAAACUUGGUCUAAUAUCCCAUAGUAUUUAGAGGUGGCAUCACCACUAAAUUAAAGCUUCGGUGGUAUAGGAUUGGCUCGCGUGACAUUAGCUGGAUGGUGGGGUAACGGCUCACCGUGGCAAUGAUGUCUAGGGGUUCUGAGAGGAAGGCCCCCCACACUGGGACUGAGACACGGCCCAGACUCCUACGGGAGGCAGCAGUGAGGAAUAUUGGACAAUGGAUGGAAAUCUGAUCCAGCCAUGCCGCGUGCAGGAAGACAGCCCUAUGGGUUGUAAACUGCUUUUAAUGGGAGCAAUAAGGUCUACGUGUAGACUGAUGAGAGUACCAUAUGAAUAAGCAUCGGCUAAC
RNAcentral lists this ribosomal RNA (477 nucleotides) under uncultured bacterium. Its description in RNAcentral is "bacterial SSU rRNA". It matches the Rfam family "Bacterial small subunit ribosomal RNA", at positions 28 to 501 of the family's 1533-position model. The record is from RNAcentral.